GCCAAAAUAAAUUGUCGAAUAUGUUUGUUUAAACCAUGAAAGGGAUUGAAAACAGUUUUUAAAACGAAGAUUAUGUUACUUAGAUUUUUAAAAGGAAGGAAUUCAUUUAGCCGCCUAAGACUGCGCAAUAUUGUUUAAUUAAACGGCGAUCUAAACGAUUAUAGAAAAAAAUUCUGUAAAUAAUUUUGAGGUGGAUGGAUUUCCGAGAAAACUUCAAAACUAAUCUAGAUAGUUAACGGCAACGUCGAAUAAGAAUUUGGC
Acyrthosiphon pisum (pea aphid) is the source of this 261-nucleotide long non-coding RNA. RefSeq lists it as uncharacterized. Lineage: Eukaryota; Metazoa; Arthropoda; Insecta; Hemiptera; Aphididae. The transcript has 2 exons. The record is from RefSeq and is a predicted model, not a curated record.